UUCUUUAACCUUGACCUGUCGAAAGGAAAUUGUCAAAAGAGGUGUGAAGCAAUUUCCGUAAAAGAAAGUUUUCUUGCUUGGCCUUAGCAUCCGGAUCUUUCUUUUUACUUCGAGAUCGCCUAGAGGAAGGUUGUGCAUUAUCCACGCUAACGGGGUUAUCAACUUUUUGGUUAUACAGAUUAUAUUUGUACCUAUAACCUACAACCUAAUACAGCAACGAUAGUAUUAACAGCGAAUAAAAAAGUAUAUAAAUUGGCGAAAACUAAAUUGGAGGAUUCUAUUGUCGAAAGGAUUUUUCUGCAUGGUGCCACUUCCGGACAUCGGAAUUGGCACUUAAUAAUUAGUCCAAUCCAAUAGGGCAUUAACCUUUGCCUGUCGCUUUGAUGCGCGCAUGCUAAUGCAGCGACUAGGCUAAGGGAGGGGUACGCCAGACGAAGGCGUGCCAGAGGUAAGAUCGGCUUUCCGAUCAGGCCACUGGAACGGCGAGAAGAACCGUCUCUGCAGUUUCGUGGGUCAUAUCGUCUAUGACGGACGUCGCCUAAUAACGGAGUGCGAGUGAUUUUUUUGUGUUGUCUUCGGUGAAACCUGUGCCUGGGCAAUUGGCAAAGCCCCGUUGUGUUGGUUGGAGGCCCGUGGGAAAGAAAAAGGCAUAAAUUAGCCUACCCCAACCUUUAAAGGCAACAUUAUAUAUAUAUCCACAUAUAUAUUUAUAUAUGUGUCCAGCGCAAAAAUGAACUUCUCUAGUGCGCUUAUUAUUCUUUAAUUUUUUUUUCCCCUGUGUUAAAUCCAAAUUUAAAUGUACAUAUGUGUAACCACGCGAGCAAAGCAACUCGGCAUGGCGUGAUGAAGUGGGAAAGAAUAUACCUAAGUGAAAACAAAAAAAAAUAAUACACAAAGCAAAAUUCGUUAGCUACAAAUGUGUAUGUGCAUGGCGACAAUUUUUUUUCUGGUUUGUUUAAAAAAAAAACACGUUAAAGCCCACCCAGUAAAUAUCGAACAUAAACUUUAGUACAAAAAAAUUAUGCAUGCAAGCAGCGGUGAGCCCACACAGCGCGUCCCCCCCGAAAGAUCUUUCGACGUUGGACAAAAACUGUAAGUACAGCCGUUUUAAUUUUUAUUUUUCAUACUUACUUGCGUGCAUGCGUACGGAAGUGAUCAGCUGUUCAAUUGGAACACAGGCUUGCCUGCUAGGCAUAAAAACAAACUUAACGCCUUUAUGCCAAGUCUUGGCUUUUGUUUCAUAAUUCUCCUAUUAUCGGCACGCACAUAAACAUCCCAAAAGGGGAAAAUGCAUGAAUUUAUAUAAUUCAAAUAUUUGUUUAUAUUUUCUUACCCUAAUUUCUUUAAUAUUUGAAUAUAAAUAACCAUUUCUUCCAGCCACGCCAAUUGCUCUACUCACUUUGCUAUACCUACUUAUAUAUAUAUUUUUUUACUACUAGAUAUUUAAUUAGAAAUGUUCAUAGGCUUGAUUUCGUCGUAAAGGUUAAGGCGAAAGACUUGAAAACUAGUUUUAACUUGCCGUUGGAUAAAGUUAGGUUAUAUAUGGAACUUCGAAAAGACAAGGUGUUCAAUGAAUUUAGUUUUUAAUAAAAACAUUAUAAUGAUUGCUUAAAUUUUCCGGUCUUAUGAUUUCCGCUAGCCGCAGCAUGUAGAGGUUUGAAGGGGUCAUUCGCAUAAUUGUUUUAGGAUAUGAAUGACCAAGGAUGGGUGGGCCAAUACUUCCUCAACGUCAACAGAGGAAUACCAAAGGUGUGUCCACUUGUGUCCUGUGAUCUGCAAACCCAGCUUUCUUCUUUUUGUCCUAUUUGUGUCAACUUACCGAUUUUUAUGGCUUUUCCGAUAGCACGCUUUGUUUUUAAAUAAUAAGCUAAUUAAAAGGCCGUAAGAUAUGAGAGUCAUCGAACACCACCCAUUAGCCGACGAGCCCGAGCCGGAACAUACUAGCGUGCGCUCUCAAUCUUACACCCACCACCUCGCCUACACUAAUGGGCUAUUGUCUAUACCCGUUACAGUUUGAUUGCAAAUUGUCUCGUUUUAUAAGUUUGCUGUUUAUGUUCGAUUUGGCGAAUCGUGUGUGCUUUGCUCGAGCUCUAGGCACAGGCUCAGCCUCAUUUUCUGUGCACUUCUCAGUCCGCAUUUAGUUGUUAUUGUUGUUGUUCUUGUUUUUGUCACUAUUCUGCCUCUAGCACCGCCACCGCCAUCUCCAUCACCAUCUCUUAUAGGAAACCUUGAACCCAUUUUAAUGGUCUAUGCUUCGUUGUGCAAGCACGCCGUCCCACAAAGAAGCAUUUCAGCAAUUUAAUUUAAUUUGC
This is an RNA transcript of Scaptodrosophila lebanonensis, 2312 nucleotides long. RefSeq lists it as uncharacterized. The record is from RefSeq and is a predicted model, not a curated record. Lineage: Eukaryota; Metazoa; Arthropoda; Insecta; Diptera; Drosophilidae. The transcript has 2 exons.